ACCCGUGAGGGAUCCUGGAGGUAUCAGAAGUGCGAAUGCUGACAUAAGUAACGAUAAAAGAAGUGAAAAACUUCUUCGCCGAAAAUCCAAGGGUUUCUGCGCAAGGUUAAUCCGCGCAGAGUUAGUCGGCACCUAAGGCGAGGGCGAAAGCCGUAGUCGAUGGAAAUAAGGUUAAUAUUCCUUAACCAGAUGGUAGUGACGGAUCUUGUAAGUUGUGAGUUCUUAAUGGAUUGAACUUGCCGCGAAAAGGUUCCAAGAAAUAGCUCCAUCAUUAGACCGUACCCUAAACCGACACAGGUGGAUUAAUAGAGUAUAUUUAGGCGCUUGAGAGAAUGAUGUUGAAGGAACUCGGCAAAAUGCUUCCGUAACUUCGGGAUAAGGAAGACCUUUUUGUAGGCAACUAUGAAAGGGUGGCACAAGCCAGGGAGAAGCGACUGUUUAUCAAAAACACAGGGCUCUGCUAACACGUAAGUGGAUGUAUAGGGUCUGACGCCUGCCCGGUGCUGGAAGGUUAAUGCGAUGGGUGCAAGCUCAUUUCUGAAGCCCCAGUAAACGGCGGCCGUAACUAUAACGGUCCUAAGGUAGCGAAAUUCCUUGUCGGGUAAGUUCCGACCUGCAUGAAUGGCGUAACGAUUUCUCCGCUGUCUCCAACAUCAACUCAGUGAAAUUGAAUUCUCCGUGAAGAUGCGGAGUUCGCGUAGUUAGACGGAAAGACCCCGUGCACCUUUACUGCAACUUUACAUUGGUGUUAGGAAAAACAUAUUUAGCAUAGGAGGGAGACAUUGAAGCAAAGGCGUCAGCUUUUGUGGAGUCACCAGUGAAAUACCUCUUUUGUUUUUCUUGAUAUCUAACUGAUUGCCGUCAUCCGGCAUCAAGACAUUGUAUGGUGGGUAGUUUGACUGGGGCGGUCGCCUCCCAAAUAGUAACGGAGGCGUGCGAAGGUAAGCUCAGAACGGUCAGAAAUCGUUCGUAGAGUGCAAUGGCAUAAGCUUGCCUGACUGUGAGACUGACAAGUCGAGCAGAGACGAAAGUCGGUCAUAGUGAUCCGGUGGUUCUGAGUGGAAGGGCCAUCGCUCAACGGAUAAAA
This 1087-nucleotide ribosomal RNA is filed under the name marine metagenome. Its description in RNAcentral is "bacterial LSU rRNA". It matches the Rfam family "Bacterial large subunit ribosomal RNA", at positions 1259 to 2461 of the family's 2925-position model. The record is from RNAcentral.